GUACCUAACACUACAGGGAGAUAACUCUGUAAUAUCAGCUAAACGUUUUAAUUACGUUGCAUUGUGAAGGCAAUAUAAAACUUCUCAAUGAUCAAAAUUAGUGUUUGUCAAACUGCUAUAUAACCAGUGUAAUUUUUCUGAUAAAACGCUUGGUUCAAAUUUUUUCAAUUUUUUCAAUUUUUGUUAAAGGGUCAAAGUAAAUACUUU
This 207-nucleotide long non-coding RNA is filed under the name Mytilus galloprovincialis (Mediterranean mussel). Lineage: Eukaryota; Metazoa; Mollusca; Bivalvia; Mytilida; Mytilidae. The record is from RNAcentral.